RNAcentral lists this long non-coding RNA (200 nucleotides) under Elaeis guineensis (African oil palm). Its description in RNAcentral is "long non-coding RNA (EGUI_LNC004307)". Lineage: Eukaryota; Viridiplantae; Streptophyta; Magnoliopsida; Arecales; Arecaceae. The record is from RNAcentral.
UGCCUAGCUUGUUUGUAGGCUUACAUUAUAUUGUCUCAUGAGCUUGAUUUUAAACUUCAGGCUCGCAUGGUGCUUGUAAAUAAUCUCUCAUGAUUAUUUAGCUUGGUCAAUGAUCAUUAAAUUCGAACAUCGCCAAUUCUAUUUUCAUUUUCUAAACUCAUAAUGAAGCAAUUUUACUAUUGCACUUGUUGUUACAAGGC